This 98-nucleotide ribosomal RNA is filed under the name Bacteroides fragilis. Its description in RNAcentral is "partial 16S ribosomal RNA". The record is from RNAcentral. Lineage: Bacteria; Pseudomonadati; Bacteroidota; Bacteroidia; Bacteroidales; Bacteroidaceae.
CUUUUACAAUGAAGAGUUUGAUCCUGGCUCAGGAUGAACGCUAGCUACAGGCUUAACACAUGCAAGUCGAGGGGCAUCAGGAAGAAAGCUUGCUUUCU